AGUGAACGCUGGCGGUAGGCCUAACACAUGCAAGUCGAACGGCAGCACAGUAAGAGCUUGCUCUUACGGGUGGCGAGUGGCGGACGGGUGAGGAAUACAUCGGAAUCUACUUUUUCGUGGGGGAUAACGUAGGGAAACUUACGCUAAUACCGCAUACGACCUACGGGUGAAAGCAGGGGAUCUUCGGACCUUGCGCGAUUGAAUGAGCCGAUGUCGGAUUAGCUAGUUGGCGGGGUAAAGGCCCACCAAGGCGACGAUCCGUAGCUGGUCUGAGAGAAUGAUCAGCCACACUGGAACGGAGACACGGUCCAGAUUCCUACGGGAGGCAGCAGUGGGGAAUAUUGGAAAAUGGGCGCAAGCCUGAUCAAGCAAUACCGCGUGGGUGAAGAAGGCCUUCGGGUUGUAAAGCCCUUUUGUUGGGAAAGAAAAGCAGCAGGUUAAUACCCCGCUGUUCUGACGGUACCCAAGAAUAAGCACCGGCUAACUUCGUG
This 491-nucleotide ribosomal RNA is filed under the name uncultured bacterium. RNAcentral describes it as "partial 16S ribosomal RNA". It matches the Rfam family "Bacterial small subunit ribosomal RNA", at positions 29 to 507 of the family's 1533-position model. The record is from RNAcentral.